GAGAGAGAGAGAUGUAAACAUUUGAUUUGUGAGAAUUCUAUAUAUACUAUGUUUUAUUUUACAAUGAUGUUUUUCUUUCACAGGGACCUUACCGCCAACGAGGCUCUGUCCAUGCCUUUGUGAGACAGUUUCUGGCCCUUGUUUACAUGCCAGAGGACAAGAUUCCAGCUGUUUUCAACAUACUGAAGGCAAAGACUGCUUAUGUCGAGAGGCGAUGGAUAUUAAGCUACCCCUGGGCCCCAUCAUGUUGGAGCGUGUUUGGACUGGCCACACGCACCAACAACGAUGUAGAAGGUUGGCACAGACGUGUCAACGACAAGGCAUCAGGAGGCAACCUCUGGAUCUACCAUUCCCUUACUGUUUGAGGAGUCACCCCUUCUUCCCCUGCAGAGGCGACUGGUGUCUGAGGGGAAGCUGAGCAGGCAUCAAAAGAAACAGACCCGUACCCACCAGGCAAAGCUCUUCGCGUACACCAAAGGAGAGAUGUCCAGUUACUCCCUCCUCAAACGUUGUUCCAAAUUGUCAGAGUGAUUGUACAAUAUAAAGCGUGUAACGUGGUGAUUUCACAUCACUAUAUUACUAUGCCGUAUGGCUUAUUGCAAUGGGUUCUACUUUAUUUUGGAUUGUAAAUUAUAUACAUACAUGUAUGUAUCCGUAAUACUGUUUCUAAUGAUACGGUAUAAUGCGAUGUGUGUAAUAUUACAUUUCUUAAUUAUUUAUUAAUUAUUACAAUUCUGCACGAUUACUUAGUAAUAUAUGUCUAUGAUGAUGUAGUAUGAGGAGUGUAAAGUGAUCUAUUAAAUCACUGUCCAUGUGUCUGUCACUACAUGUACAUGUAUGUAAUGAUGUGAUCGUGAGCGUCAAUGCAUUAUUUUUCUUUUCUUUCAAUGUUAUUUGUGAAGUAUAUUUCUUAACUUUUCAUAUUUGGAGGAAAUAAAGAAAGAAAUAUUUGUACAAUUUCUU
This is a long non-coding RNA of Pecten maximus, 963 nucleotides long. RefSeq lists it as uncharacterized. NCBI's taxonomy places the organism in Eukaryota, Metazoa, Mollusca, Bivalvia, Pectinida, Pectinidae. The record is from RefSeq and is a predicted model, not a curated record. The transcript is spliced from 4 exons.